This 508-nucleotide long non-coding RNA is filed under the name Panax ginseng (ginseng). RNAcentral's name for it is "long non-coding RNA (PGIN_LNC007160)". Lineage: Eukaryota; Viridiplantae; Streptophyta; Magnoliopsida; Apiales; Araliaceae. The record is from RNAcentral.
GACAACCUAGUUUUGAUGAAUGUUUAGAAGAUGUAAACUCCUAGUGAGUAGUUAUGGUGAAAUGUGAUAAUAGAUGAGAAAUCCUCGAAUGAGGAAAUUGUAAAGGUUAAAUUGAAAACCUAGUUUUGAUCAAGAGAAUGAGCAGAGGUUAGGAUGCUUUAAUUUCGAGGACGAAAUUCUUAGAAGAAGGGGUGAAUGUGACAACCCGAGAAAUUAGAAAAUUAUUAAAAUCUUAAAUGAUUGGUUUAAGGUCAAAUAAUAGACCUAAACAGAGAAUAAGUGUAUGUGUUUGAUGUUUUCAGAAAGGAAUUUUGAGGAUUUAAAAUUUCUUUUAGUGAAUUAUUCAGGAUUAAGGGUAUGUGUGUAUAUAUUCUGUGAUUACGGUAUUAUGUGUACAGAAUGUGGUUAAGGGUCAAGUGUUGACCAGAUAAAUUAUAUCUGUGUCAAACCCUAAUAUUAUUAGAACGUCAACGUUCAGUUAUAAAAUUAUUACGAUUUAUAAGAAACC